RNAcentral lists this ribosomal RNA (253 nucleotides) under uncultured bacterium. RNAcentral describes it as "partial 16S ribosomal RNA". It matches the Rfam family "Bacterial small subunit ribosomal RNA", at positions 524 to 776 of the family's 1533-position model. The record is from RNAcentral.
UACGGAGGGCGCAAGCGUUGUUCGGAAUCACUGGGCGUAAAGCGCGUGUAGGCGGCUUGGUAAGUCGGGUGUGAAAGCCCGGAGCUCAACUCCGGAACUGCAUUCGAAACUAACUCGCUCGAGUCCCGGAGAGGGUGGUGGAAUUCCCGGUGUAGAGGUCAAAUUCGUAGAUAUCGGGAGGAACACCAGUGGCGAAGGCGGCCACCUGGCCGGUGACUGACGCUGAGACGCGAAAGCGUGGGGAGCAAACAGG